CCUUGCGCGUGAGGCGAACCGUGACGUUAAAGGAACCGUUCAAACUCGCACACUAAACUCCCGCCCUUAAGUGUGAAGUGGACCGUUGGAGCACGAGCGCACGGCGGGAAAACAUUUAACGGUCACCCAUUUGCGCGCAGGUGACGUACAGCUUACCAAGCACACUGUCCCGUUGAGGAGCAGCAGAAUGAAGCCGUGGUCGGAGCGCAUCUCGUCGGUCUCCUACAGACUCUCCGUUCAAGAAGACGCUGUUCCUCCGGUACCGUAUCCAAAACAGCCGAGACCCGGUCCCAUGUCCAACAAAAACUCUCCUGUGAGUGGAAUCCCACCUGCUUUCUGUCACGGAAAACUCACGCUACUUUGAGAGAUUACCGGAGCGGGUGACAUCCAAAGGCGCGUGGAGACUGAGGGAACACUUCAUCUUUGCGCUGCGAUAAAAGAGGAGACGACAGCGUCCACUUUACUCCGUUUAGUGUUGGAAUGAGGAGAGAGCCAAAGAAUGAGGUACCAAAGCUCAGAGAAACCGUAUAUAAAUGAGAAAAGCAACUCGUCUCUGCGAAACCGGGUGGCCGAACAGUCAUCAGUGCCAACAAACGCAAUCACAGCUGCUUCUUACUGAAGCACUUUGAGCUUGUGUGCCCCCCACCCCUCAUGUGAGAAACCCAAAGGUCAUGUGGGUAUUCGCUCCUGAUUGCCUGGUGGUCUUUAAUGGAACUGUGGUUCAUUGCCUUGGUCUGGAAAAGCCCAGAAAGACGUUCUCAGUCUUACACCAUUAAGUGACGCAGAACAGUAGUCUGAAACGCUGUGUCCUCGGGCAUCCGGUAGCUCACGUGGAGCCUCUGAGUGCACCUGCAAAGCAUCAGUUUGGCCUCAGUUAAUCCUUUAAAAUGAAAUAUAUAAUUGUGUGCAAAAAUUGUAUAUGUAAAAAUAAUUUCUGCUGUCCUAGCUUUUUGCAAUGCCAAGCCUUUAAAAAAAAUUCUAG
Misgurnus anguillicaudatus (oriental weatherfish) is the source of this 982-nucleotide non-coding RNA. NCBI's taxonomy places the organism in Eukaryota, Metazoa, Chordata, Actinopteri, Cypriniformes, Cobitidae. The record is from RefSeq and is a predicted model, not a curated record.